UUAAGCGACUAAGCGUACACGGUGGAUGCCCUGGCAGUCAGAGGCGAUGAAGGACGUGCUAAUCUGCGAAAAGCGUCGGUAAGGUGAUAUGAACCGUUAUAACCGGCGAUGUCCGAAUGGGGAAACCCAGUGCAAUUCGUUGCACUAUCGUUAACUGAAUACAUAGGUUAACGAGGCGAACCGGGGGAACUGAAACAUCUAAGUACCCCGAGGAAAAGAAAUCAACCGAGAUUCCCCCAGUAGCGGCGAGCGAACGGGGAGCAGCCCAGAGUCUGAAUCAGCUUGUGUGUUAGUGGAACGGUCUGGAAAGUCCGACGGUACAGGGUGAUAGUCCCGUACACCAAAAUGCACAGGUUGUGAACUCGAAGAGUAGGGCGGGACACGUGGUAUCCUGUCUGAAUAUGGGGGGACCAUCCUCCAAGGCUAAAUACUCCUGACUGACCGAUAGUGAACCAGUACCGUGAGGGAAAGGCGAAAAGAACCCCGGCGAGGGGAGUGAAAAAGAACCUGAAACCGUGUACGUACAAGCAGUGGGAGCACCUUCGGGUGUGACUGCGUACCUUUUGUAUAAUGGGUCAGCGACUUAUAUUCUGUAGCAAGGUUAACCGUAUAGGGGAGCCGCAGGGAAACCGAGUCUUAACUGGGCGUUAAGUUGCAGGGUAUAGACCCGAAACCCGGUGAUCUAGCCAUGGGCAGGUUGAAGGUUGGGUAACACUAACUGGAGGACCGAACCGACUAAUGUUGAAAAAUUAGCGGAUGACUUGUGGCUGGGGGUGAAAGGCCAAUCAAACCGGGAGAUAGCUGGUUCUCCCCGAAAGCUAUUUAGGUAGCGCCUCGUGAAUUCAUCUUCGGGGGUAGAGCACUGUUUCGGCUAGGGGGUCAUCCCGACUUACCAACCCGAUGCAAACUACGAAUACCGAAGAAUGUUAUCACGGGAGACACACGGCGGGUGCUAACGUCCGUCGUGAAGAGGGAAACAACCCAGACCGCCAGCUAAGGUCCCAAAGUCAUGGUUAAGUGGGAAACGAUGUGGGAAGGCACAGACAGCCAGGAUGUUGGCUUAGAAGCAGCCAUCAUUUAAAGAAAGCGUAAUAGCUCACUGGUCGAGUCGGCCUGCGCGGAAGAUGUAACGGGGCUAAACCAUGCACCGAAGCUGCGGCAGCGACACUAUGUGUUGUUGGGUAGGGGAGCGUUCUGUAAGCCUGCGAAGGUGUGCUGUGAGGCAUGCUGGAGGUAUCAGAAGUGCGAAUGCUGACAUAAGUAACGAUAAAGCGGGUGAAAAGCCCGCUCGCCGGAAGACCAAGGGUUCCUGUCCAACGUUAAUCGGGGCAGGGUGAGUCGACCCCUAAGGCGAGGCCGAAAGGCGUAGUCGAUGGGAAACAGGUUAAUAUUCCUGUACUUGGUGUUACUGCGAAGGGGGGACGGAGAAGGCUAUGUUAGCCGGGCGACGGUUGUCCCGGUUUAAGCAUGUAGGCUGGUUAUCCAGGCAAAUCCGGAUAAUCAAGGCUGAGGUGUGAUGACGAGGCACUACGGUGCUGAAGUAACAAAUGCCCUGCUUCCAGGAAAAGCCUCUAAGCAUCAGGUAACAUCAAAUCGUACCCCAAACCGACACAGGUGGUCAGGUAGAGAAUACCAAGGCGCUUGAGAGAACUCGGGUGAAGGAACUAGGCAAAAUGGUGCCGUAACUUCGGGAGAAGGCACGCUGGUGUGUAGGUGAAGUCCCUGCGGAUGGAGCUGAGACCAGUCGAAGAUACCAGCUGGCUGCAACUGUUUAUUAAAAACACAGCACUGUGCAAACACGAAAGUGGACGUAUACGGUGUGACGCCUGCCCGGUGCCGGAAGGUUAAUUGAUGGGGUUAUCCGUAAGGAGAAGCUCUUGAUCGAAGCCCCGGUAAACGGCGGCCGUAACUAUAACGGUCCUAAGGUAGCGAAAUUCCUUGUCGGGUAAGUUCCGACCUGCACGAAUGGCGUAAUGAUGGCCAGGCUGUCUCCACCCGAGACUCAGUGAAAUUGAACUCGCUGUGAAGAUGCAGUGUACCCGCGGCAAGACGGAAAGACCCCGUGAACCUUUACUAUAGCUUGACACUGAACAUUGAGCCUUGAUGUGUAGGAUAGGUGGGAGGCUUUGAAGCGUGGACGCCAGUCUGCGUGGAGCCAACCUUGAAAUACCACCCUUUAAUGUUUGAUGUUCUAACGUUGGCCCCUGACCGGGGUUGCGGACAGUGUCUGGUGGGUAGUUUGACUGGGGCGGUCUCCUCCCAAAGCGUAACGGAGGAGCACGAAGGUUAGCUAAUCCUGGUCGGACAUCAGGAGGUUAGUGCAAUGGCAUAAGCUAGCUUGACUGCGAGCGUGACGGCGCGAGCAGGUGCGAAAGCAGGUCAUAGUGAUCCGGUGGUUCUGAAUGGAAGGGCCAUCGCUCAACGGAUAAAAGGUACUCCGGGGAUAACAGGCUGAUACCGCCCAAGAGUUCAUAUCGACGGCGGUGUUUGGCACCUCGAUGUCGGCUCAUCACAUCCUGGGGCUGAAGUAGGUCCCAAGGGUAUGGCUGUUCGCCAUUUAAAGUGGUACGCGAGCUGGGUUUAGAACGUCGUGAGACAGUUCGGUCCCUAUCUGCCGUGGGCGCUGGAGAAUUGAGGGGGGCUGCUCCUAGUACGAGAGGACCGGAGUGGACGCAUCACUGGUGUUCGGGUUGUCAUGCCAAUGGCACUGCCCGGUAGCUAAAUGCGGAAGAGAUAAGUGCUGAAAGCAUCUAAGCACGAAACUUGCCCCGAGAUGAGUUCUCCCUGAGACUUUAAGUCUCCUGAAGGAACGUUAAAGACGAUGACGUUGAUAGGCCGGGUGUGUAAGCGCAGCGAUGCGUUGAGCUAACCGGUACUAAUGAACCGUGAGGCUUAACCUU
This 2900-nucleotide ribosomal RNA is filed under the name Klebsiella pneumoniae. RNAcentral describes it as "bacterial LSU rRNA". It matches the Rfam family "Bacterial large subunit ribosomal RNA". The record is from RNAcentral. Lineage: Bacteria; Pseudomonadati; Pseudomonadota; Gammaproteobacteria; Enterobacterales; Enterobacteriaceae.